Molecule: non-coding RNA, 75 nt
Organism: Ramaria rubella
Lineage: Eukaryota; Fungi; Basidiomycota; Agaricomycetes; Gomphales; Gomphaceae
Source: the annotation of a GenBank genome assembly
GGUUCGGUAGCUCAGUUGGUGGAACGUCUGCUUAACAUGCAGAAGGUCGUUGGUUCAAGCCCUUAUUUCGGCUUA